This 492-nucleotide ribosomal RNA is filed under the name uncultured bacterium. RNAcentral's name for it is "partial 16S ribosomal RNA". It matches the Rfam family "Bacterial small subunit ribosomal RNA", at positions 29 to 507 of the family's 1533-position model. The record is from RNAcentral.
AGUGAACGCUGGCGGUAGGCCUAACACAUGCAAGUCGAACGGCAGCACAGUAAGAGCUUGCUCUUACGGGUGGCGAGUGGCGGACGGGUGAGGAAUACAUCGGACUCUACUUUUUCGUGGGGGAUAACGUAGGGAAACUUACGCUAAUACCGCAUACGACCUACGGGUGAAAGCAGGAGAUCUUCGGAUCUUGCGCGAUUGAAUGAGCCGAUGUCGGGUUAGCUAGUUGGCGGGGUAAAGGCCCACCAAGGCGACGAUCCGUAGCUGGUCUGAGAGGAUGAUCAGCCGCACUGGAACUGAGACACGGUCCAGACUACUACGAGAGGCAGCAGUGGGGAAUAGUGGGCAGUGGGCGCAAGCCUGGUCCAGCCAUACCGCGUGGGUGAAGGAGGCCUUCGGGUUGGAAAGCCCUUUUGUUGGGAAAGAAAAGCAGCAGGUUAAUACCCCGCUGUUCUGACGGUACCCAAAUAAUAAGCACCGGCUAACUUCGUG